UUUGCUUGGAUUUUUGUCACCUUACCUUAUCAAACUGCUGGAAUACGCUGUUGGGGGUUGCCACAUCACUCCACAAAUAUUGUUUGCUGUAUACUGGUGAACAUUUGGCCACAUUCAACAGUUCCAGGCAGAAAAGGGAAGAAGUGGG
Long non-coding RNA from Telopea speciosissima, 148 nucleotides. RefSeq lists it as uncharacterized. The record is from RefSeq and is a predicted model, not a curated record. The transcript has 3 exons. Lineage: Eukaryota; Viridiplantae; Streptophyta; Magnoliopsida; Proteales; Proteaceae.